RNAcentral lists this transfer RNA (95 nucleotides) under Candidatus Uhrbacteria bacterium CG10_big_fil_rev_8_21_14_0_10_48_16. RNAcentral describes it as "tRNA-Ser". It matches the Rfam family "tRNA". Rfam says of the family: Transfer RNA (tRNA) molecules are approximately 80 nucleotides in length. Lineage: Bacteria; Candidatus Uhriibacteriota. The record is from RNAcentral.
GGAGAGGUACCCAAGUGGCUGAAGGGGCGGGAUUGCUAAUCCUGUAGGUCGGCGUUAAACCCGGCGCGGAGGUUCGAAUCCUCUCCUCUCCUCCA